CAUCAAUAGGGUGAUGGGACAAAGUGCUUUUCAAUAAACUGUUCUGUUUUUGAUCUGGUAUUUUUGACCCAAACUAGACUUGAGUGUUUGGAGAACCACUGCACAUUAACUUCUGUAUUUUUAAGGCUCAUUGGCAAUGCUUAGCAGGUAAUCAUCACUCACAUUUGUUGAUUUUAUUUGAGUUUAUGAAAAUUUCCACCUUGCUUUAGAUAGAAUUUGUUUUUGUUUAAAACCCCUGUACCUUUUUCUAAGUAACACCAGGGGGCACUGUUCCCUCAAUAAUGCUUGUUGUGGCACCAAAACAUUUGGGCAGCCUUGGGGAAGCCCUCCCAAUAGCUACUCUUAUUUUGUAUCACACAGCCCUGGAAAUUCAGACAAGUGAGACUGGAGAGGCAGUUCUUGUUGGAAGCUUAUGAGCUCUAAUAGUUAUUCCUUUCAAAAGAA
This 444-nucleotide long non-coding RNA is filed under the name Bos taurus (domestic cattle). RNAcentral's name for it is "long non-coding RNA NONBTAT011693". The record is from RNAcentral. Lineage: Eukaryota; Metazoa; Chordata; Mammalia; Artiodactyla; Bovidae.